UGUGAAAUUGUUGAAAGGGAAACGCUUGAAGUCAGUCGCGUUGGAUGGGGAUCAACCUUGCUUUUUUGCUUGGCUUAUUUCAUAGUUGACGGGUCAGCAUCAGUUUUGACCAGUGGAUAAAGGUUGUGGGAAUGUGGCACCUUCGGGUGUGUUAUAGCCCUUGGUCAUAUACAUUGAUUGGGCCUGAGGAACUCAGCACUUGUGCUUAGGAUGCUGGCAUAAUGGCUUUAAGCGACCCGUCU
RNAcentral lists this ribosomal RNA (242 nucleotides) under uncultured Termitomyces. RNAcentral's name for it is "partial 28S ribosomal RNA". Lineage: Eukaryota; Fungi; Basidiomycota; Agaricomycetes; Agaricales; Lyophyllaceae. The record is from RNAcentral.